CUAAGAAUAUUCCGCAAUGGACGAAAGUCUGACGGAGCGACGCCGCGUGGAUGAUGAAGGCCGUGAGGUUGUAAAAUCCUUUUGUCGGGGAAGAAUAAGUCUGGGAGGGAAUGCCCGGAUGAUGACAUGAACCGGCGAAUAAGCCCCGGCUAACUACGUGCCAGCAGCCGCGGUAACACGUAGGGGGCAAGCGUUGUUCGGAAUUACUGGGCGUAAAGGGCACGUAGGCGGUCCUGUAAGCCUGACGUGAAAGGCUAUGGCUCAACCAUGGCAUUGCGUUGGGAACUGCGGGACUUGAAUCACGGAGAGGGAGCUGGAAUUCCAGGUGUAGGAGUGAAAUCCGUAGAUAUCUGGAGGAACACCAGUGGCGAAGGCGGCCACCUGGCCGACAACUGACGCUGA
Molecule: ribosomal RNA, 402 nt
Filed under: uncultured bacterium
Lineage: Bacteria
Description: bacterial SSU rRNA
Rfam family: Bacterial small subunit ribosomal RNA
Source: RNAcentral